This 7186-nucleotide unclassified non-coding RNA is filed under the name Daphnia pulex (common water flea). RNAcentral's name for it is "peripheral-type benzodiazepine receptor-associated protein 1-like, transcript variant X5". The record is from RNAcentral. Lineage: Eukaryota; Metazoa; Arthropoda; Branchiopoda; Diplostraca; Daphniidae.
UUUUAUCAUUUCCGGAUUCCAUUAAUCCUCGUUUAACUGGAACACAAAUAGUUCGAUAAUGACGUGUGGGAUUUUUAGACACGACCGUGAAAUCCUACACCCCCCCGGGUGGGAGGAGGGAUUUUUAUUCUAUAGCGUCAAAUGGAAUAAUAGCACCUGCGUUUUUAUUUAUUUUGAAAUGAAAGGCGAGUCGUCGUCGUCGUUUUUCAUUUUUCUAUAAAAGACGGACGUUUACAUUGGGUCGAGUUUAGUCACAACUUAUCCGGCGUCACUUGCAAGUUGCCCGUCUCUUUCGCCACAUGUGUGCACAGUUUAUGCACUGCCAGAUGCGGGAUUGACGUCAUUCGCCCGUUUUUUGUUCAACCGGAUUGGAUUUCGUCCACUUUUUGAAAGAAAGAAAAAUGGCUGACGGAUGGAUUCCGGCGGACAAUGGAGGAGCCCACAAGGAUCUCAGGAGGAGGAUCUCGAAUUCGGCCCAAAGUUUGAACCGAUUCGUCCGGCUGCCCAAACCCAAAAAGUGUCGAUCGUGGGGCCGUCAGUUGUUGCGACGCUGGUCCAGCAGCGGUGCCAGUCUUUUCGGAGGAUUUUUCGCUUCCACUCCGUCGGCCGGUGGAUCCUGCGGGAGGAGUGACGUGAGGAAUCCGGAUUCUCCUCCUCGGUCGCUGGACGCGGAUGUUUUCGCUUCGCUGUCGUCGGAUUACGUCCACUUUGGGACGGCCACGCCCCCUCCUAAGCCUCCGCGAGUCCGUCGGUGGUCGACAGUCAGCGAUGGAUCCUGCCCAACCGACUGUGAAGGAUCGCUCACUUCUGUGCAGUCGAGCGGAUUACUGCAAGAGGAGGAGGAGGAGCGACGGUUGUUGUUUUUAAGGUUCCAGCUGGCGGCGGGCGCAGCUGGAUGUUGUUCCAGCGUCGAGUUGUCGGUUGGGCCGGCAGAUGGCGUCGGCCAAUCCUCAGGUGCCGUCGCCGACGACGUGGGAGAAGAAAUCCAAGGGGCGGAGUCAUUGCGGACGAGUGGCGAUGAAACGCAUCCAUCCGGUGCGGAUGAAGAAGAUGACGACGACCAGCACGACGACGGCAGCAGCAACGGCCACGACUGGAUCGUCACGAAAAGAAAACUGUUGCGUCCAUUAUCACCGCCGCCGGCCACCUCUCACCACCACACCCACGGUGACUUCCGCUUGGAGGACGCCCGUCUCUUGUGGCUGGGCUGGCGACUAGGCCGUCCGGAGACGAAGCCGGUGAUAUCGGAACGAGAGCGCGGACUAUUGCAACGGGCCAACAGCCUCAAUAUCCACAUCAGUCAGCUGCAACGGAACCAACGGAUCUUGUCCAGCGAGAAUGAGCAAUUGAAACGUCAAAUGGAGAUGGAAAGAGAGCGGCCGGCCGGCCAGCUGCAACGGGAACGUGAGCGUCAGCAAGAGCUGCAACUGCUGCGCAGGAAAAAUGCCGAGCUGGCCAUGCAGACGAAGAAACUGGAAGAGAAAGUCCGCAGUCUGGAAAAGAAAUCGAAGGAGCUGCCGGCCAUCAACGGUGAGCGGACGCAGCAGGUUGUGACCAUGUCCAGGGAGCGGUCGAUUGACAACAAGUUGCAACCUCAAGUCCACCACCAACAACAGCAGCAGCAACAACAAGCGAAACAGACGACAAAUGCGUUGCGCUGGCGUGAAAAGGAAGUUGAAAUGCAAAAUCGCUUGACGGAACGGGAAAAGGAGAUUGGCCGUCUCAAGGAGAAGCUCAGGGACCUGACCAAGAAACUACAACAGGAGCAACAACAUUACAACAGCAAGGAGUCGCUGCAAACGCAACAAAACGGGGUGGAAUGGACCAUCUUGUCUCAGGGUUCCAGGGAACUGGAAGGACUUUUGAAACUCGUCUCUAAAGAGCGACUCCAGCUGGAACGCAAUUUCGUCCUGGCCACUCAGGGAUUGCAGCGAAGUGCCGAGCUUGACGUGACCCGCUACUCGGCCUUGGAGGCGACCAACGUCCAGCUCCGGCGGCAGGUGGAACAGCUGGAACUCUUGUGCAAGGAACAGGCCGAAGCGGCCCAGCAGCUCAGCAAAAGGCAACAGGAUCGAGAAGUGCUGGCCGAGCGACUUAAAGCCAAAACAGAGUACAGUCAAGACUUGGAGAAUCAGCUGAGCAAAGUUAUCGACAAGAACGCCGAAUUGACCAUUGAGAAUUGUGACCUGAAGAAACAAGCCCAGGAGCUGCACCAGUUUGAAACGGAAUGCCAGACGCUUCGUAGCUCGUUGAACACGGUGGAAAGCCAGUGCCAGGCGGCCCAGAGCGAAGUUGCCCAGCUCAAGGAGAAGAUGGCCGGCCUGGAUCAUGUCCUCAGGCAAAUGAGAGAAGCGGCCGAGAAGAAAAAGGAAUUGGAAAAACAACAUGGAGAGUCGGUCAAUGAGUUGCGGACGGCCCAGGCCCAGCUGGGAUUGCUGGCCAGCAACAAGAACACGGAAGUGGAGCGGGCACAACAUUCUCAGAACAUCGAGUCGCUUCAGUCGAGGAUUCGCGAGCUGGAAAGGAAAAUGGAAUUGCAGAACGUGAGACACGAUGAAUUGUUGCUGGAACUGGCGGCCUUGAGACGGAACCAGCACCACCACCACAGCAACAGCAGCGGAGCUGGAAGCAGCCACCACGGCAGCAGUCAGUCACUAGGAGCCACAUUCGAUUUAGAUUCAAGGGGAUCCAGCCCAGAUUCACUGAGGUAUUUAGCCAAUGGUGCUGGAUCGGUGACACGGACAACCCCUCUGGGACAGAGUGCCUCCAAUUUAGACGCUCUCCUCGAAAUGGACUUGGCCGUCUCGAAUUACAACCUGGGCAAGAGCCUUUCGCAGCCGGUGGUUUCGACGUCUUCCAUGUCGAAACUGACGGGCAUCAACAGUGGCGGAUCGUCCAGCAGCAGUAGCCAUCACCACAGCGACAUCGAGCGGAUCAUGGCCAAAAUCGAGCAGGAUAACCGAGUGCUGGCCGAGCUGGAAAAAUCGCGCGCCACAAUCACAGUGUCUCAGGAGAAGGGCAAAACGGUGACGUUUGCCAGCGAUGACAUGGUCCUGCACUACGGCGGCCAGAACCGGCACAGGCGCAAAUCGACGCCGGCCAGCCUCAACCGGACGCCUUUACUCCACCACCACCACCAACAGCAACACCAAAUGAUCCAACAACAACCCCAAUAUCAUCAGCCUUCUGCAACUGCACUUCUACUGCAACAACAACAACAUCAUCAUUUACGCUUUUCUCCGCCCGUCUCUGCCCAUCUCAGGCAUUGGCUAGCGCCGGGCAUUGAAACGAGUAAGAAGAGUUCUGGAUAUUCCAGUCACAACGGGGCGAGCGGAUCGGCCGGCCAGUCGAUGAGUCCGUCUCUGUACGGCAGCACAAGUUCGUCGGUGGGUUUGACGUCGACAUUGACCAAUACGUCGUCCAUGUUUUUCCCGGCCAGCGGAAGCGGCAGCAACACGACGGCCGUCUCGACGGCGGCCGCCGAUUUGGCCCACACGCUGAGCUUAGGCGUUGCCCAGCAGCAGCAACAUCACAAUUCAUCGCUGGUCUCUGGUGGACUGAGAUCGACGCUGACGGCGCCCGGCAGCGGUGGCGGUGGCAGCAUGGCCUCGAUGUUGCAUCCGCCUUUGUCGCCGCUGAGUCUGCCGGCCCUGCCGCUGGACGCUCAUUCGGCCCACUCGCUCCUGCACACGGUGCCGCUGCAUUCGUUCCGCCAUCCGGAGCCCGAGAGCAGCGCCGACAUGCUGGAAAUACCGGGCAAGGGCCGCUGCUACGUCUACCUGGCCAAGUACACGUACGAUCCGUUCAGCCAGUCGCCCAACGACAAUCCGGAAGCGGAAGUCUCGCUGGCCGCCGGCGAUUACGUCCUCGUCUGGGGUACAAUGGAUGAGGACGGAUUUUACGAGGGAGAAUUGCUGGACGGACGCAAAGGUUUGGUCCCUUCGAAUUUCAUCCAGCGGCUGCAGGGUGAGGAUUUGGUGGAAUUCCACCGGGCGGCCGUUCUGGGCCUGCAGAUUUGCGGUGACGACAGCAGCACGACGAGUUUACCUCGUGACCUGCUGGGCGUCAGUCCAAAUCACUUGGCCAGCGUCGGCGGCGGCGGAGUCGGCAACAGCAGCAGAGCCGGCCAUCCGUCUCAUCCGUCGAUUCAUCAACUUCCAUCGCAUCCGCAGCACCAGCAGCAACACCAGCAACUGCAACAACAACAACACCAGCUACAACAACAACAGCAACAACAACAAGGUCUGCCACACCAACAGCCGAUUGCGGCCAACGAGCCCAUCGAUCAAGCGCAUAUGCCAGCGGCUGGAAGCAGUCAGGUGGCCUUUCAUAGUCCGGCCAGUCGCAGUAGGGGCAUCAAUCAGUAUGACGCUGCCCGUCAGGCUCUCGACUGGGGUCUGAUGGAGUUGCAGGAAUUCCUGGAAGACGAGGAGCUGGCCCUAGGAGUCAAAGGAGAAGGACCAGACUGGCUCUUCCUUUCGCUGCUAGUCCCACCACCGCGUCAGCUGACGCUGGAACGCCAAUUGAACAAGUCGAUCCUCAUCGGCUGGAAUCAUCCGGAAGGAGCUCCGCCGGAAUCGGGACAGAUUGCCUCCUAUCAUGUCUACGUCGACGGAAUACUCCGCACCACCAUCCGGGCCGGCGACCGAUGCCGGGCCCUCAUCGAAGGCGUCGAUUCCAGCAAACCGCACCGGAUUAGCGUUCGCUCUGUGACGCUGAGACGCCGGGCCUCGCUGGACGCUGCCUGCACGAUGGUGAUUGGCAAGGAAGUUCCGUCUGCUCCGACUUGCGUCCGUGUGAGUCACGUGACGGCCACAUCGGCCCUGAUUUCCUGGCUGCCGGCCAACUCGAAUUACCAGCACGUCGUCUGCGUCAAUCACGUGGAGGUGCGGACGGUCAAGCCGGGCAUAUUCCGGCACACCAUUUCCGGCCUCUCGCCCAACACCAUCUACCGGGUGACGGUCAAGGCCAAGAACAUCCGCUCGCCGCACUUCAACACGAUGGACGAGACGACGGCCAAGUACGCCGAAAAGUAUUGCACCCACGUCGAGUUCCGCACGUUGCCCAAGGGCGUGCCCGACCCGCCCGUCGACGUCCAGGUCGAGCUGGGCCCCCAGGACGGCACUUUGCUCGUCACCUGGCUGCCCGUCACCAUCAACAGCCAGUCGGGCAAGUCGAACGGCGUCCCCGUCACGGGCUACGCCGUCUACGCCGAUGGACGCAAGGUGACGGAAGUGGACAGCCCAACGGGCGACCACGCCUUACUGGACAUUUCCAGCUUCAUGGGCCUGCAGGCCAAGCACGUGACGGUGCGGACCAAGGCGAGAGAGAGCCAAUCGGGCGACAGCGUGCCCACCCCUGUGCCCAUCGACCUCAUCAAGAACCGCGGCGGCAAUCGGAACGAUGACGUUCAAUGCCCAGUCAAUAACAACGAGAUGGUAGUAGACGAGACGGACGUAGUGGAACAUAGUUUUGGCCCGUCGGAAGACAUAGUAGGCCUGUGGAAUCUCAGUUUGCUGGCCAGCAUCAAGGACACGUUAGAGUCGGACGAACGGCCGUCUGAACUGUCCGACAUUGCCGAAGAGCCGGAAGAGUAUCAGGACUGCAGUAGCGAUGGCGAAAUGAUGAACGAAACGAGCCGGGGCAGCAACAACAUUGGCCGGCGCAAUUUCAUGGAACAAUCCAACAACGGACGAGGCCAGCAGGGCGGCGGUGGCAUGAUCCAGCGCAAUCAGUACCUCAAUCCUUCCAUGCCCGGACCCAUCCCGUCUAUCGAAAUCACCAAGGAUACGGCCAGCGAGCGAUCGGGCGAUAGCUAUCGCGGCCGUGACGGCCAGCAGGGAAUGUACGACCGAAACAAAUCUCUGCCGGCCAACCGCAACCCGCAGAUGGUGGGCGGCCCCAGGAACGUCCAGGGACAGCAGCAGCAGCAGCAGGGACGGGACAACUAUUACGCCUCGACGACGGGCAGGAAUCAGCAGCAGCAGCAGAAUGACGGCUAUUACGAUCAGCCGGGCAACAGACGCGGACCAGUGGCCCGCGGUGGCAACGGCCGCCAGCCGCCCAUGCAGCAGCAGACUAGGAUCUUUGUCGCCCUGUUCGACUACGAUCCGCCCACCAUGUCGCCCAACCCCGACGCCUGCGACGAAGAAUUGCCAUUCCGCGAGGGCCAGCUCAUCAAAGUUCGAGGCGAUAAAGACGCUGAUGGAUUCUAUUGGGGCGAAGUAGCCGGCCGUUCGGGUUACGUACCUUGCAACAUGGUUUCUGAAGUCCAGGUGGACGACGAGCGGGUCGCCCAGGAGCUCCUCAAAGAGUCUGGAGCAGACGGGCCGAGUCAUUCCCGGACCCGGCGCAAUUUGCGAGCUCAGGGCCAGCCGGGCCACGGUCGUGACCGCUGGGGUGACAUUUACGCCAACAUGCCGGUCAAGCGGAUGAUCGCCCUGUACGACUACGACCCGCAGGAAUUGUCGCCCAACGUGGACGCUGAAGUGGAACUGUCCUUCCAGACGGGCGACAUCAUCUACGUUUACGGCGACAUGGACGACGACGGGUUUUACCUGGGCGAGUUGCGCGGCCAGCGCGGGCUGGUCCCUUCCAAUUUCCUGACGGAAGCGCCGCCGGAUUACGACCCGUCUCAACCGCGUCACAAGCGAGGCGGCCAGCAGCAGCAACAGCAGUCGGCCAACAUGAACGACAAGUCUGGCGGAGGCGGACAGAUGAUGCAGGAUCGCGGACGGGAUUCCAGUUAUUACGGCGGAAAUCGCAGCCGGGAACGGAUGGAUCACGAUCGAAUGGAUCCCCGGGAUGGACGGGGCAUGUCCGGCGCCGAAGGUCCCCCACCUCCUCCACGUACGACCAAUCACCGGCCGUCCGACAAUUCCCGCGAUCGUCGCAGCGACGUCUACUCGCCUGAUCGUCACGAGCCUUAUGGGGAGGUCCAUGGCGGCGGUCGGGAGAGAUGGUAACAACCCGAUCAAUAACCAACGCUUCUACGCAGAAGACUCUUUCUCCGACGUCGACGAUAGAUUUAAAGACCGGAUUCGAUGGAUUACGCCUACAACAACGGAAUGGCAGAUCCCAUGCAACAACAACUACAGGGCAUGAAUGGACAACCACAACAGCAACAACAACAACAACCGAAUUUCAACGGUGGAACGGGUGGGCCCAUCCGCAAUUUGCCCAUGAA